GUGCCGCCCAGCCCGGGCAGCGGCGGGGAGUCCCGGCAAACACCGGAACGGGGAACCGCCACAGCCGUGCCUGGCUCCGCCUGAGGGACAGCGGGUGCCACACAGACGGUGUCCUGCCCAGUGAGGUGUCACGGCAAACACGUCUAGCCCAGAGACCUUGAAGCCACUGUUCAUGCUGAUCCUGUGAAAACCACUUAGACUGACAGCAACUUUGUUCAGCAUCACUGAGGACUUCAUGCAAGCACCUGAGGAGUUUCCUACUGGAAAUCUCUCCCUAAUGCACCACAAACUUCUUCCAAGCUUUGCAAUUUUGUACUGAUUUAAGAACCCAAUGGAACGGUUGGAACAGUGUGAUUGAAAUCAAUGUAACACAAGUUAUGGUAUGAAUUUUCAGUCAAUAUCCUGCAGUCUGGGUUUGGGGAUGGGAAGGAAGGUGGAGUGCUAGUAUUGGGAACUGGAGCAGAACUGGACUGUUUCAGUUUCUUUGUAAUGCUCUGAUUGCAUAAAGGAAGCAAACAGGAGUUA
This is a long non-coding RNA of Parus major (Great Tit), 525 nucleotides long. RefSeq lists it as uncharacterized. The record is from RefSeq and is a predicted model, not a curated record. Lineage: Eukaryota; Metazoa; Chordata; Aves; Passeriformes; Paridae. The transcript has 2 exons.